CCAGGGGGCCGGGCAGCCGCUGCUUCGCAAGGAGGAGAGGAAAGUCCGGGCUCCACGAAACAAGGGUGGCGGGUAACGCCCGCCGGGUGUGCGCCUUCGGGCGGACAUUCAGGGAAAGUGCCACAGAGAGUAUACCGCCGAUGGACCCUAAAGGUCUCAGGCAAGGGUGAAAGGGUGCGGUAAGAGCGCACCGGGGCUUCGGUAACGGCGCCCGCAUGGCAAACCCCACCCGGAGCAAGGCCAAAUAGGGGUCUCGCGCCCAAGCAUUUCGGUGCAAGGGCAGUGGCGUUUCGCCGCGAGAGACCCGGGUUGGCUGCCUGAGCGCGCGGAGCAAUCCGCCGCCUAGACGAAUGGCUGCCCCCGCAGCGCUGGUCGCAAGAUACCGGCUGCGGGACAGAACCCGGCUUACAGGCCUCCUGGCAUU
This 424-nucleotide RNase P RNA is filed under the name Parerythrobacter lacustris. RNAcentral describes it as "RNase P RNA component class A". It matches the Rfam family "Bacterial RNase P class A". Rfam says of the family: Ribonuclease P (RNase P) is a ubiquitous endoribonuclease, found in archaea, bacteria and eukarya as well as chloroplasts and mitochondria. Its best characterised activity is the generation of mature 5'-ends of tRNAs by cleaving the 5'-leader elements of precursor-tRNAs. Lineage: Bacteria; Pseudomonadati; Pseudomonadota; Alphaproteobacteria; Sphingomonadales; Erythrobacteraceae. The record is from RNAcentral.